RNAcentral lists this unclassified non-coding RNA (216 nucleotides) under Hevea brasiliensis (rubber tree). The record is from RNAcentral. Lineage: Eukaryota; Viridiplantae; Streptophyta; Magnoliopsida; Malpighiales; Euphorbiaceae.
GCUGCAUGUAGUGGAUUUCUACUGGGUUUAGUAUCAGCUGCUUGUCACAUAAGGGGAGGUGGAUUUUCUAAUGUUCUUGUCAUUGGUGCUGAUGCUCUUUCUCGCUAUGUCGAUUGGUCAGAUAGAGCAUCCUGCAUUCUCUUUGGAGAUGCUGCUGGUGCUGUACUACUGCAGGCAUGUGAUACUGAGGAUGAUGGUUUAUUUGGUUUUGACUUG